AGUCCCCCGAGAGCGGAUGCCGCGGCGGGCCUCUGGGAGAGGGGUUAUCUUCUUUCUGCUGCUGUAGCUGCCAUGGGCAAAAGAGACCGAGCGGACCGCGACAAGAAGAAAUCCAGGAAGCGGCACUAUGAGGAUGAAGAGGAUGAUGAAGAGGACGCCCCUGGGAACGACCCUCAGGAAGCGGUUCCCUCGGCGGCGGGGAAGCAGGUGGAUGAGUCCGGCACCAAAGUGGAUGAAUAUGGAGCCAAGGACUACAGGCUGCAGAUGCCGCUGAAGGACGACCACACCUCCAGGCCCCUCUGGGUGCCGUCAGCGUUGGGCUGCAAACCAGUGACAUCACCGAGUACCUCAGGAAGCUCAGCAAGACUGGAGUCCCUGAUGGAAUUAUGCAGUUUAUUAAGGCAAGUGACAGCUGAGGCCAGCAAUUCCACCUGCCCUGCUAAUGUAACAAUGGGCAUAGGUGCUCCAUGUUGUCAGCCUGUGGCAGCCAUGAGAAUGUGCCAUUCAGAUUUCCUGUGGGGAGCGUAACGACUGAUUACCCCAGCCGCUACACUCCGGAUCCAGC
Molecule: small RNA, 565 nt
Filed under: Pongo abelii (Sumatran orangutan)
Lineage: Eukaryota; Metazoa; Chordata; Mammalia; Primates; Hominidae
Description: retained intron
Source: RNAcentral